UCAGGACGAACGCUGGCGGCGCGCCUCAUACAUGCAAGUCGAGCGAGAACCAGGGCUUCGGCCCUGGGGAAAGCGGCGAACGGGUGCGUAACACGUGAGCAACCUGCCCCGAAGACCGGGACAAGCCGGGGAAACCUGGUCUAAUACCGGAUGCCCUCACCGGAUCGCAUGGUCUGGUGAGGAAAUGGAUUCCGCUUCGGGAUGGGCUCGCGGUCUAUCAGCUUGUUGGUGAGGUAACGGCUCACCAAGGCGACGACGGAUAGCUGGUCUGAGAGGACGAUCAGCCACACUGGGACUGAGACACGGCCCAGACUCCUACGGGAGGCAGCAGUAGGGAAUCUUGCGCAAUGGGGGGAAAAACCCCCUGACGCAGCGACGCCGCGUGCGGGAUGAAGGCCUUCGGGUUGUAAACCGCUUUCAGUAGGGACGAAAUUGACGGUACCUGCAGAAGAAGGCCCGGCCAACUACGUGCCAGCCGCCGC
This 482-nucleotide ribosomal RNA is filed under the name uncultured bacterium. RNAcentral describes it as "bacterial SSU rRNA". It matches the Rfam family "Bacterial small subunit ribosomal RNA", at positions 24 to 518 of the family's 1533-position model. The record is from RNAcentral.